GUGGGCUUGCCAAGCUGGGUCUUUACGGGAAUAGCCAGGGCACCACCCACCCACACACACCUCCGGCCUCCAGGCUUAGCCCUCCUGGAGAGAGGAUGCAGCCCAUCCCCACUCACCAUCCGGUCUCCAACAUGCCUAGAAGCUGGCAUCAGCCCUGAUGCCUGCAGGGUGGGCAGUGUGAGCUCCCCAGGGGCCUCUGUACCAGGAGUCUGAAGGCCAGAAAUGCCACUCGGCCCCUCCUCACUGCAAAGGGACUGGAAGGUGUGGUCUCCCAGAGGUCCAGGAAGGAAAGAAGCCCUGGGAAUGUUUCCCACAAGGCCCAGCUUCUUCUCAAGGCAACUGUGGAUAAGGAAAGAAGGCAGGCAAGGCUGCUGUGCUGGAAAGAAGGUGGAGUUCUCCAGAAGCAGACUGCAGAGAACGGAGUGCAGGAAGAUUCCCAAGGAGAGCCUCGGGAUGAACACCUAUGGAGAAGGUGGCAGUGGGAUCAGGCAGAUGGAGAGGUUGGCUGCGACGCAGUCACAACCAGGCCUCCACUGAGCCCACAGGGAACUCUGAAACUGGGAUGGCCCUUCAGAGUUAUCCCCAGCCAGAGCAUGGACCAGGCCUUUAUAUCUUCCUCUUUGAUGAGCUUCUCAGGUGCAUGUAGGACACCUGGAUUCUCAGGGCCUGGAGAGAAGGACUAAGUAGGAUGACUUGGAGAAAGCUCUGCAUUCAAAUCUUGGCUCUGCCACUUAUCUGCUGUGUCUGUUUAGGUUAGUACCAAACUUUCUGAGUCUCGGUUUCUUCAUUUGUAAAAUGGCAAUAAUAUCCACCCCACAGGGUUUUUAAACAGAUCAAAGAAGUAUAGAACAUGUUCUGACACAGUCCAAUCUUUUGUAAAUGGUGCUGGUAAUGGGUGACCAUAGUAAUUGUUGCUAUCUCAGCAGCCACAGAGGCAAGAUGAUCCCCUAGUAUCUAUGCUAGAACUCCCAGAAGGGAGCUAUGCCAAAGUCUAGGUCAAAAGCUAUUAGGUAUAUGGACUGCUGGGCCCCAGGGGGUCUGAGAGAGUAGCUACACAUCUUCUUAAAUCCCAGGCCAGUGUCCUGCUGGGAUCAAGGACACUGCUGUAGAGACGUUAUCAGGAACAAAGGACAAUACUGGGAAAAGCGGUUUCAGCUGCUCUUGCUAAAAGAACACAUGGCAUCCUCCAUGUGCCAGGCACGGAGAGGGUGGCGCCGUGGGCAGGUGGGACAGUCCCUGUGCAGGCUGCGGGCAUCUUCAUAGUGCUGUCCUGUCCAUGGGGUGUGACCACAUGACAGAUGAGAGGGGCUUAGAUUUCUCUGUCUCCUCUUUCAGUCGACAAGUAGAAAGCUACCUACCUGGGACCCCUUCCAGGCACACGGGGAGUGCAAAAUGUAACACCAAAAUCAAGGCCGAGGGUGGAUGCUGGAAUUCUGACCUUCCCUUUGGGGGCUGGAUUGGGAACUUCCCCCGGGGGCUGGAGAAUUUGAUGGUGCUGAGAUUGCUUGUUCUUGCCGCUCUCCCAGAGAGGAGGUCCCAUAUGGGUUCUGGAAUCAGAAAAGCCUACUUCCUGAGUUUGAAUCCCAUCUUCAUCCUUCAGCUGUGGGACCCUGGACAAGAACCAACAUCUUCCAGCAGAGAUCACCAAGAACACACUUGCAGUUGAAUAAGCUGGGUUUAUUCAUUACUGCAGUGAGAGAGAAUACACACCAGGGUGUCUCAGUAAGAGGGUGUUAGACAGAACCUGUGAUAGAAUUGGGGUUGGUUUGAGUGAUUUGGGGGAGGGUAAGUGUAUUAGUCCAUUUUCACGCUGCUGAUAAAGACAUA
Cercocebus atys (sooty mangabey) is the source of this 1827-nucleotide long non-coding RNA. RefSeq lists it as uncharacterized. The transcript is spliced from 4 exons. The record is from RefSeq and is a predicted model, not a curated record. NCBI's taxonomy places the organism in Eukaryota, Metazoa, Chordata, Mammalia, Primates, Cercopithecidae.